RNAcentral lists this ribosomal RNA (504 nucleotides) under uncultured bacterium. RNAcentral's name for it is "partial 16S ribosomal RNA". It matches the Rfam family "Bacterial small subunit ribosomal RNA", at positions 29 to 523 of the family's 1533-position model. The record is from RNAcentral.
AUUGAACGCUGGCGGCAGGCCUAACACAUGCAAGUCGAGCGGUAACACAGGGAGCUUGCUCCUGGGUGACGAGCGGCGGACGGGUGAGUAAUGUCUGGGAAACUGCCUGAUGGAGGGGGAUAACUACUGGAAACGGUAGCUAAUACCGCAUAACGUCGCAAGACCAAAGAGGGGGACCUUCGGGCCUCUUGCCAUCAGAUGUGCCCAGAUGGGAUUAGCUAGUAGGUGGGGUAACGGCUCACCUAGGCGACGAUCCCUAGCUGGUCUGAGAGGAUGACCAGCCACACGGGAACCGAGACACGGUCCAGACUCCUCCGGGAGGCAGCAGUGGGGAAUAUUGCACAAUGGGCGCAAGCCUGAUGCAGCCAUGCCGCGUGUAUGAAGAAGGCCUUCGGGUUGUAAAGUACUUUCAGCGGGGAGGAAGGUGCUGAGGUUAAUAACCUCAGCAAUUGACGUUACCCGCAGAAGAAGCACCGGCUAACUCCGUGCCAGCCGCCGCCGUAA